UCCUAUUCUUUAAUUUAUCCUACAAAUAGGAUAGUUAUUACUAAUUUUGUAACUUCAUAUUUGUUGAGACAAUUGUUCUCUAUAUUUGUGAUAAAAAAAUAAUAAAAAGAAAACCUACAUCAACAACAAGAUAGACCUAAAACCCUUCACUAAAAUGUACACAACCCGUGCAUUUUAUGCUCCAAAGUCAACAAAUAGAAGUGCUCUUUUCCAAUCGUCGUCGUGGUCGAGGAUGCGGUGGCGGUGGCGAUGGCGGCGAGAUUCAUGGCCAAGUCUCGCAGAAACAGGACGAAGCAACGACACCGUCGCAAGAAAUCAAGUCCUCUAGAGACAAAUUACAAACAACCCAUCACACAUCACACAAUCAUCUCCAUCAUCGAGUCGGGAAGGAAAGGAAAGUCUGUGUGGAUCCAACACCGCAAUUCAUCCACGGACAUGACUGACUGACCGAGCAACGCGGGAAAUGUUUGCCUCGCUCGGAGGAUUAUGAGCCUGCAGCGCCUCAGUCCGCGAGUUCGAAUUUGUCGUGGACUUUCGCAAUCACCAGCUGGCUGGUCGAAAUUUGAGAGAGGGAAGAGAAGGGAGGGAUCCUAAUUUUAGAGGGAGGGAGAGAACCUUAACAGGUGGUGGCCAUCGCUCGGGCUCCCGUUCCGAUGCGAGCGAUGCGGCCCGACAAAGGCCCAGAUUAGUCCGGAUUCGGCACACGCGGAAUUUCCUUUUGGGUCGCGACAGAGCAGGACACUAGUGAGCGAGCGCAGCACCAGGGAAUGAACACACACCCUUUCAAAAUUAUACCUGCGCUGAAGUGCUACCCAUCGCAGCGGAGCUCGCCGCAUUGCGAUCCCGCUCCUGGGUUCGCAUGGCAACG
RNAcentral lists this long non-coding RNA (868 nucleotides) under Physcomitrium patens. RNAcentral describes it as "long non-coding RNA (PPAT_LNC007067)". Lineage: Eukaryota; Viridiplantae; Streptophyta; Bryopsida; Funariales; Funariaceae. The record is from RNAcentral.